Mesoplodon densirostris (Blainville's beaked whale) is the source of this 863-nucleotide long non-coding RNA. RefSeq lists it as uncharacterized. NCBI's taxonomy places the organism in Eukaryota, Metazoa, Chordata, Mammalia, Artiodactyla, Ziphiidae. The record is from RefSeq and is a predicted model, not a curated record. The transcript is spliced from 3 exons.
UUUAAGCUGUUUCUUUCCGGGUCCAGCGCCUGCUGCGAGCAACGCGCUGUUCUAGGGGCGAAGCCGAGAACUACUUCUCGUGGAGCUGAGGUUCAGCGGUGUGUGUGUGGGACACUCAAAAUAAACAUCAUAAAUAAGUAAAUUCGAUAAGAGGCUGCGUAGCAAAAUGGAGUCUGCAUCCAGAUUUAUUGGGUUUCAAUCCCAGAUUUGCCACUUACUAGCUGUGUUACCCCGAGCAAAUUGCUUCAUCCUUCCGUGCUUCACUUUCCUCCUCAGUUAAAUGAGGAUCAUCAUAGUGUCUACUUCAGUGUUGGUGUGAGAGUUGAAUGAGGAUAACUCUCUGGGAGCCCAGCUGCCAUGUUGUGAGGAAGCCCAAGCCACGUGAAGAGUCUCCCAGAUAAUGUCCCAGCCGAAACCAGCAUCAACCACCAGAGAAGUAAGUGAGUGAACAUUGAGAUGAUUCCAGCCCCCAGGCUUUGAGCCAUCCCAGCUAACACCAAGAGGCACAGAGAGAGAACUGUUCCCAUCAAGCCCGGCCCAAACUGCAGGACCCCAGAAGGCCAUCCCCAGAUUUUCAGGUUAAGAAGCUCCACAGCCUUUGUCACAUAGGGUGGCUAGCAGAUGUAUAAGUGAUGACACCUUAGUUGUUUCCUGCAGAAAUGUCGCUGUCCGGGCAUGGAGCUGGGUCCCCAGAGUCAGCGCUUAUGGCAUCGUUCACCAUCCUGUUAGCUGAGCAUUUGAUGCUGAGAUUGGUCUGUCACCAUCAGCUAUGUGACCUUUGGUGGCAGGGACUGGCCUUCUCUGUGCCUAAAGGCAAGCACAGUGCUGAGUGAAAUGAAGAAGAGAUAAGACCAUGGGUUCAG